UACGUAGGGUGCAAGCGUUAUCCGGAAUUAUUGGGCGUAAAGAGCUCGUAGGCGGUUUGUCGCGUCUGCUGUGAAAACUGGAGGCUCAACCUCCAGCCUGCAGUGGGUACGGGCAGACUAGAGUGCGGUAGGGGAGAUUGGAAUUCCUGGUGUAGCGGUGGAAUGCGCAGAUAUCAGGAGGAACACCUAUUGCGAAGGCAGCUCGCUGAGACGUAACUGACGCUGAGACGCGAAAGCGUGGGGAGCAAACAGG
This 253-nucleotide ribosomal RNA is filed under the name uncultured bacterium. RNAcentral describes it as "partial 16S ribosomal RNA". It matches the Rfam family "Bacterial small subunit ribosomal RNA", at positions 524 to 776 of the family's 1533-position model. The record is from RNAcentral.